This 253-nucleotide ribosomal RNA is filed under the name uncultured bacterium. RNAcentral describes it as "partial 16S ribosomal RNA". It matches the Rfam family "Bacterial small subunit ribosomal RNA", at positions 524 to 776 of the family's 1533-position model. The record is from RNAcentral.
UACGUAGGGUGCGAGCGUUAAUCGGAAUUACUGGGCGUAAAGCGUGCGCAGGCGGUUUUGUAAGCCCGAUGUGAAAUCCCCGGGCUUAACCUGGGAAUGGCAUUUGGGACUGCAAGGCUGGAGUGUGGCAGAGGAGACUGGAAUUCCUGGUGUAGCAGUGAAAUGCGUAGAUAUCAGGAGGAACACCGAUGGCGAAGGCAGGUCUCUGGGCCACUACUGACGCUGAGAAGCGAAAGCAUGGGGAGCGAACAGG